AGAGUUUGAUUCUGGCUCAGAACGAACGCUGGCGGCGUGGAUAAGACAUGCAAGUCGAACGCUGAUCGGGAGGUAGCAAUAUCGACCGGUCGGAGUGGCGCAAGGGUGCGUAACACGUGGGUAAUUUGCCGUGAAGUCUGGAAUAACUUGCUGAAAGGCAAGCUAAUGCCGGAUGAGAUCGCCGACGAGCAUUCGUUGGCGAUAAAAGUUGGGGUCGCAAGACCUGACGUUUCACGAUAAGCCCGCGGCCUAUCAGCUAGUUGGCGAGGUAAAGGCUCACCAAGGCUAAGACGGGUAGCUGGUCUGAGAGGACGACCAGUCACACUGGAACUGAGACACGGUCCAGACACCUACGGGUGGCAGCAGUCGAGAAUUUUUCACAAUGGGCGAAAGCCUGAUGGAGCGACGCCGCGUGGGGGAUGAAUGGCUUCGGCCCGUAAACCCCUGUCAUUUGCGAACAAUGCGUCCCCGUGAACAACGGGAGGCGUUGAUAGUAGCAGAAGAGGAAGAGACGGCUAACUCUGUGCCAGCAGCCGCGGUAAUACAGAGGUCUCAAGCGUUGUUCGGAUUUACUGGGCGUAAAGGGUGUGUAGGCGGUCGGGUAAGUCUGAAGUGAAAUCUCUAAGCUCAACUUAGAAAAUGCUUCGGAUACUAUCCGGCUAGAGGGUCGGAGAGGAGAUCGGAAUUCUCGGUGUAGCAGUGAAAUGCGUAGAUAUCGAGAGGAACAUCAGUGGCGAAGGCGGAUCUCUGGACGAAUCCUGACGCUGAGGCACGAAAGCCAGGGUAGCAAACGGGAUUAGAUACCCCAGUAGUCCUGGCUGUAAACGGUGCGCACUUGCUGUGAGCGGAUUCAAACCCGCUCGUGGCGAAGCUAACGCGAUAAGUGCGCCGCCUGGGAAGUACGGUCGCAAGAUUAAAACUCAAAGAAAUUGACGGGGGCCUGCACAAGCGGUGGAGUAUGUGGCUUAAUUCGAUGCAACGCGAAGAACCUUACCUAGCCUUGACAUGUGAGUAGUAGGAGCGUGAAAGCGCGACGAGGUAGCAAUACCAGUUCACACAGGUGCUGCAUGGCUGUCGUCAGCUCGUGUCGUGAGAUGUUGGGUUAAGUCCCGCAACGAGCGCAACCCCUAUGUCCAGUUGCCACCCGGCUACGGUCGGAGCACUUUGGACAAACUGCCUCGCUUAAACGGGGAGGAAGGUGGGGAUGACGUCAAGUCAGUAUGGCCCUUACGGCUAGGGCUGCACACGUACUACAAUGCCUAUUACAAUGGGGAGCGACCCGGCAACGGCGAGCAAAUCCUGAAAAGUAGGCCCAGUUCAGAUUGUCGUCUGCAAUUCGACGACAUGAAGUUGGAAUCGCUAGUAAUGGCGCAUCAGCUACGGCGCCGUGAAUACGUUCCCAGGCCUUGUACACACCGCCCGUCACAUCAUGAAGGCCGUUUGCACCCGAAAACACUGUGCCAUCUUCGGAAGCAUGUGACUAAGGUAUGAAUGGUGAUUGGGAUGAAGUCGUAACAAGGUA
This 1522-nucleotide ribosomal RNA is filed under the name metagenome. RNAcentral describes it as "bacterial SSU rRNA". It matches the Rfam family "Bacterial small subunit ribosomal RNA". The record is from RNAcentral.